UUGACAGGUUGUGCCUGAAAUGUGAUAUUCGCAAGACAGUUGUUCACCCUGCCGUGAUACCCUUGAUUUACUACGCAGGGGACGCCGGCGCUACAACACACAAGAUCAUGUGGCAACUCGCUCCCACAAACGCUCACGCGGUCUCACGCUCAUAGGUUCUAGCUCAUCCAGGUUGUGCCAUCGGGGCAGCUAGUUUUAUGGUUACCUGUCCUCUUAGUGAUCGGUGAACUCUUCGCUUGUGCACGUGUGUUCGCCGUCGCUUCCUGCGAUGGCCCUUCCACGCUUUUCAGCGGCGACUUGUAGCACCGACGCCACAACCGACAUUUGAACCGGACAAACUUCCUAACAAGAUUAGUUCCCUGGCCCAUAGGCCUGGAGGCACUGUGCAGGAAAGUACGGCUGUGAACAGCUAGGUGCCCUGAAGAGACCUGUAGGACUACAGCAUGACGUUCAGAAGUCCUAGGUCAUCGCUAUAUGGCAGGACUUUCAAAAUGCGUUUUGGUGGUACCUACCAAACGGCCACCUUCCCUUCCAUCUUGGAGGUGCGCGAAAGCUGUGACUGCUAAUACGCAUGCGCCGGUGUGCUCCGGAGACGAGCGCAACACCAAGUUCACAGAAUAAGAUGAUCGUUCAAAAUGAAAACUGCAUUGCCCGAAGCAGGAGCGCGGUCCAGUCCAGUGGCCUGCUUGGGCACUUCUGGUCGCUUUGAGCAUGGGCAUGGGCACCGUGCCGGAGGGUGUUCCUUCAUGAUUGCAUAACUAUCGACACCCUGUCGUAUUGGGUGCCGCCGCAAGAGGUGGACCUCUUCUAUCUCUCUUGCGGAGCAACGAUGACUGCCUGACUGACUGCCGCUCCCGAACGACACGACCUUUUGUCAUCUUUGUUUUUAAUCUAUCUCAUCCUUCUUUCACUGUUUAUUGGUUUAUCCUUUAUGUCCUUGUCUCUUUUCUUUUUUAUUUAUCAUAGUCUUCUUUUAUUUUAUUUCCUUGCGGAAUAGCAAGCGGACGUCC
Molecule: long non-coding RNA, 1010 nt
Organism: Ornithodoros turicata
Lineage: Eukaryota; Metazoa; Arthropoda; Arachnida; Ixodida; Argasidae
Exons: 3
Source: RefSeq, a predicted model, not a curated record